This 253-nucleotide ribosomal RNA is filed under the name uncultured prokaryote. RNAcentral describes it as "partial 16S ribosomal RNA". It matches the Rfam family "Bacterial small subunit ribosomal RNA", at positions 523 to 775 of the family's 1533-position model. The record is from RNAcentral.
AUACGGAGGGUGCAAGCGUUAUCCGGAUUCACUGGGUUUAAAGGGUGCGUAGGUGGGUUGAUAAGUCAGUGGUGAAAUCCCCGAGCUUAACUUGGGAACUGCCAUUGAUACUAUUGAUCUUGAAUACCGUGGAGGUCAGCGGAAUAUGUCAUGUAGCGGUGAAAUGCUUAGAUAUGACAUAGAACACCAAUUGCGAAGGCAGCUGGCUACGCGAAUAUUGACACUGAUGCAUGAAAGCGUGGGGAUCAAACAG